Canis lupus familiaris (dog) is the source of this 104-nucleotide non-coding RNA. Lineage: Eukaryota; Metazoa; Chordata; Mammalia; Carnivora; Canidae. The record is from Rfam.
GUGUUCGCUUCAGCAGCACGUGUACUAAAAUUUGAAUAAUACAGGGAUUAGCAUCGCCCCUGCGCAAGGAUAACACGUAAAUUCAUGAAGCAUUCCAUAAUUUU